AAUCCGAUAAGGGGCUUUUUAGGUUU
This 26-nucleotide transfer RNA is filed under the name Chenopodium album (lamb's quarters). Its description in RNAcentral is "partial tRNA-Thr". The record is from RNAcentral. Lineage: Eukaryota; Viridiplantae; Streptophyta; Magnoliopsida; Caryophyllales; Amaranthaceae. RNAcentral also lists the same sequence under 8 other names.